AUUGAACGCUGGCGGCAGGCCUAACACAUGCAAGUCGAGCGGACGAAGGGAGCUUGCUCCUGGAUUCAGCGGAGGACGGGUGAGUAAUGCCUAGGAAUCUGCCUGGUAGUGGGGGAUAACGUCCGGAAACGGGCGCUAAUACCGCAUACGUCCUGAGGGUGAAAGUGGGGGAUCUUCGGACCUCACGCUAUCAGAUGAGCCUAGGUCGGAUUAGCUAGUUGGUGGGGUAAAGGCCUACCAAGGCGACGAUCCGUAACUGGUCUGAGAGGAUGAUCAGUCACACUGGAACUGAGACACGGUCCAGACUCCUACGGGAGGCAGCAGUGGGGAAUAUUGGACAAUGGGCGAAAGCCUGAUCCAGCCAUGCCGCGUGUGUGAAGAAGGUCUUCGGAUUGUAAAGCACUUUAAGUUGGGAGGAAGGGCAGUAAGUUAAUACCUUGCUGUUUUGACGUUACCAACAGAAUAAGCACCGGCUAACUUCGUG
Molecule: ribosomal RNA, 484 nt
Filed under: uncultured bacterium
Lineage: Bacteria
Description: partial 16S ribosomal RNA
Rfam family: Bacterial small subunit ribosomal RNA
Source: RNAcentral